Long non-coding RNA from Passer domesticus (house sparrow), 1522 nucleotides. RefSeq lists it as uncharacterized. The transcript has 2 exons. The record is from RefSeq and is a predicted model, not a curated record. Lineage: Eukaryota; Metazoa; Chordata; Aves; Passeriformes; Passeridae.
CCCCCCCCCCGGGAGAGAAUGAUAGAGACUGUGCUGGCUUGAAAUUUGAUAUCUCGUGCUGGCACCACGGCCAGGAGGAGAAGGGUGGGGGGGGGGGGCAAGGUGCCCAGCUGCUGGCAGACUGGGCUGAGCUUUUAACUCUUUUGGUACUGAAACAAUGGAAGCUGUAAGAAACACUGAUCCUCCCCAGCUGAGAGUUUAGAGGGGACGGAGGAUGGGCAGAUGAGAAGAAGGCUUGAGUGAGUGAAGAAAUGCCAGCAGAUGAGAGUGCCCUAGAUGGAGGAGAUGAUUGGAGUGGCUUUGGCUGGACUUUUCUCUUACAUAGCCACGGGCGAAACCAAUUUCUUCUGAUAAUGCAGAGACUGCACCUUGGGGGAGACGGUUGGCCAGAAGCCAAGAAUUAUAAGGCCGCGAAGAGAGUUAGAGGGAACAGAGACUGAGGGGGAGGGUGUGGUGGAGCCCUCUGCCUUCAGUGAAGGAUCUCUGUUCCUAAGACCCAGGCCCCAGGGGAGUAAAAAUAUGGGGGGGACAGGCAUCCCAAAUGGUGAGAGAAGGCCACUUCUUCGAACUGGGCAAUAAAGCAUUCUUAAAAGGACCUAAGGAGCAGUUUGGAUCCAUGGACAGUGGUGAGAGCAUUGGACAUGGAAGGAAGAUGGUCACCACGGCAGAUUUUCUUCGGGCGGCUGCUGCGUGUGACACAGAAGCACGGGAGGUUCCACUGUGUUUCCGGGGGAGGCCCAUGGUGCAAGAGGGAAACUCCUCUCUCCUGAUGAACUGGGGGGAGCUUGUAUGAAGGAGGGUAUUGGACUGAGAAUUGAUGUGUUAGAGGGGAUUUGAAUGUUAGAGGACUGGGCGGAGGAGGAGUGUUUUGGGAGUGUUCCAUUGUGGAUUGUUGUGUGUGUGUGUUUUUUUUUUUUUUCCCUUAUGUUUCUGUGUUGUAGAUUAUUAAAGUGUUGUGUUUUUCCCUCCAUCCCCAAGUGGGAGCCUGCUUUGUUCUGUUUUCUGGGUCACAUCUCACAGUAACCAUUUUGGAAAUACACCUUUCAUGGGGGCACUGGCACUGUGCCAGGGUCAACCCAUGACAGUGCCUGAAGAAUUGCGCAGGCUCAUAAAAAUUAAUAAGGCAGUUUGAUACAUAUGCAUAUGUCUUUCAUGCAUAUGCAACAAGUUAAGGGAUAAAGUAGACUCGGGAAUUUUUGGGAGUGCGCAUGUCCUUUAGGGGGAGCUAUUCCCACAUGCACCCAACGCUAGAAUAAAUCAUACCGGCUUUACAACUUUUACAAGUUGUGGAGUUGUUUUUUCUCCAAAUAAUUUGUGGCAAGGCAGCCAGGAGGGUCUCUGUCCCCGCAGGAGCAGGGGGGCAUGGACCUCUUAGGCGCACCCCGGGAUCUUCCCUGGAGGAGCUCCAUGUCUCAGCUUGCCCCCUGUGGAGACAGACAGCGACCUUCUGGUGUGUGGAUCAAAUGUGUCUGUUGCCGCCAUCUGAAGUUCUUCAAACGGCCCUCACUGACUUUUCUGGACA